GGAUGCGAUCAUACCAGCACUGAAGCACCAGAUCCAAUCAGAACUCUGAAGUUAAGCAUGCUUGGGCGAGAGUAGUACUAGGAUGGUGACCUCCUGGGAAGUCCUCGUGUUGCAUUCCC
This 119-nucleotide ribosomal RNA is filed under the name Triticum aestivum (bread wheat). The record is from RNAcentral. Lineage: Eukaryota; Viridiplantae; Streptophyta; Magnoliopsida; Poales; Poaceae.